GCGGCUCGAGAUCAAUGGGGAUAUUCGCAGAGCACCCAUAGAGCUAUAAUCCAUGUCUGACUCGUUAUAUAAAGAAUCAUGACGGAGGUCCAUUUCCUGUCAUAUAGAUCGAUCUUUUAAAUUCACGGGGUCAUCUUGCUUGAGGAGAUAUAAAGGAGAGAGAAGCCCAAAAUCAAGAAUAAACGACUAUUCCGUGAAACGGCUAGGACUUAGGAAUCAUUUUAAUGCCUCAUCGAACAUAUGUUUGUAAUAUUCAUCAUGCAAAUUCUUAUCAGUAUAGACCUCGGUCUUGAACCUUGAUUGAGUUCCAUCCGGAUUGCAAAACAAAAAAUACAGUGUUAUGAUUUUUUUUCUUAAAACUACGAAGUUCAAAC
RNAcentral lists this long non-coding RNA (374 nucleotides) under Mytilus galloprovincialis (Mediterranean mussel). The record is from RNAcentral. Lineage: Eukaryota; Metazoa; Mollusca; Bivalvia; Mytilida; Mytilidae.